UGUGGUUUAAUUCGAUGAUACGCGAGGAACCUUACCAGGGCUUAAAUGUAGUCUGACCGGUCUGGAAACAGACCUUCUCUUUGAGCAGAUUACAAGGUGCUGCAUGGUUGUCGUCAGCUCGUGCCGUGAGGUGUCGGGUUAAGUCCCUUAACGAGCGCAACCCCUAUUUCCAGUUGCCAGCGGAUAAUGCCGGGGACUCUGGAGAAACUGCCCGCGUAAGCGGUGAGGAAGGUGGGGAUGACGUCAAAUCAUCACGGCCCUUACGUCCUGGGCUACACACGUGCUACA
This 288-nucleotide ribosomal RNA is filed under the name Symbiodinium sp. clade D. RNAcentral describes it as "partial Bacterial small subunit ribosomal RNA". It matches the Rfam family "Bacterial small subunit ribosomal RNA", at positions 940 to 1229 of the family's 1533-position model. Lineage: Eukaryota; Dinophyceae; Suessiales; Symbiodiniaceae. The record is from RNAcentral.